RNAcentral lists this ribosomal RNA (497 nucleotides) under uncultured bacterium. RNAcentral describes it as "partial 16S ribosomal RNA". It matches the Rfam family "Bacterial small subunit ribosomal RNA", at positions 28 to 507 of the family's 1533-position model. The record is from RNAcentral.
GAUGAACGCUGGCGGCGUGCCUAAUACAUGCAAGUCGAGCGAACGGACGAGAAGCUUGCUUCUCAGAUGUUAGCGCCGGACGGGUGAUUAACACGUGGAUAACCUACUUAUAAGACUGGGAUACUUUCGGGAAACCGGAGCUAAUACCGGAAAAUAUUUUGAACCGCAUGGUUCAAAAGUGAAAGACGGUUUUGCUGUCACUUAUAGAUGGAUCCGCGCUGCAUUAGCUAGUUGGUAAGGUAACGGCUUACCAAGGCAACGAUGCAUAGCCGACCUGAGAGGGUGAUCGGCCACACUGGAACUGAGACACGGUCCAGACUCCUACGGGAGGCAGCAGUAGGGAAUCUUCCGCAAUGGACGAAAGCCCGACGGAGCAACGCCGCGUGAGUGAUGAAGGUCUUCGGAUCGUAAAACUCUGUUAUUAGGGAAGAACAUAUGUGUAAGUAACUGUGCACAUCUUGACGGUACCUAAUCAGAAAGCCACGGCUAACUACGUG